RNAcentral lists this ribosomal RNA (699 nucleotides) under uncultured beta proteobacterium. RNAcentral describes it as "bacterial SSU rRNA". It matches the Rfam family "Bacterial small subunit ribosomal RNA", at positions 28 to 720 of the family's 1533-position model. The record is from RNAcentral. Lineage: Bacteria; Pseudomonadati; Pseudomonadota; Betaproteobacteria.
AUUGAACGCUGGCGGCAUGCUUUACACAUGCAAGUCGAGCGGCAGCGCGGGGGCAACCCUGGCGGCGAGCGGCGAACGGGUGAGUAAUGCAUCGGAACGUGUCCCGUGAUGGGGGAUAACGCCGCGAAAGCGGCGCUAAUACCGCAUACGCUCUACGGAGGAAAGUGGGGGAUCCGCAAGGACCUCACGUUAGGGGAGCGGCCGAUGUCCGAUUAGCUAGUUGGUGGGGUAACGGCCCACCAAGGCGACGAUCGGUAGCUGGUCUGAGAGGAUGAUCAGCCACACUGGGACUGAGACACGGCCCAGACUCCUACGGGAGGCAGCAGUGGGGAAUUUUGGACAAUGGGGGCAACCCUGAUCCAGCCAUGCCGCGUGCGGGAAGAAGGCCUUCGGGUUGUAAACCGCUUUUAGUCGGGAAGAAAAGGCGCGGGUUAAUACCUUGCGUUUUUGACGGUACCGGCGGAAUAAGCACCGGCUAACUACGUGCCAGCAGCCGCGGUAAUACGUAGGGUGCGAGCGUUAAUCGGAAUUACUGGGCGUAAAGCGUGCGCAGGCGGUUCGUUGUGUCGGUGGUGAAAUCCCCGGGCUUAACCUGGGAAUGGCCAUGGAAACUGGCGAACUGGAGUGUGGCAGAGGGGGGUGGAAUUCCGCGUGUAGCAGUGAAAUGCGUAGAGAUGCGGAGGAACACCGAUGGCGAAG